UGAGGAAUAUUGGUCAAUGGGUGCAAGCCUGAACCAGCCACCCCGCGUGAAGGACGACUGCCCUAUGGGUUGUAAACUUCUUUUGUAUAGGGAUAAACCUACCCUCGUGAGGGUAGCUGAAGGUACUAUACGAAUAAGCACCGGCUAACUCCGUGCCAGCAGCCGCGGUAAUACGGAGGGUGCAAGCGUUAUCCGGAUUUAUUGGGUUUAAAGGGUCCGUAGGCGGACUUAUAAGUCAGUGGUGAAAGCCUGUCGCUUAACGAUAGAACUGCCAUUGAUACUGUAAGUCUUGAGUAUAUUUGAGGUAGCUGGAAUAAGUAGUGUAGCGGUGAAAUGCAUAGAUAUUACUUAGAACACCAAUUGCGAAGGCAGGUUACCAAGAUAUAACUGACGCUGAGGGACGAAAGCGUGGGGAGCGAACA
RNAcentral lists this ribosomal RNA (422 nucleotides) under uncultured bacterium. RNAcentral's name for it is "bacterial SSU rRNA". It matches the Rfam family "Bacterial small subunit ribosomal RNA", at positions 355 to 774 of the family's 1533-position model. The record is from RNAcentral.